AUGCGGCAGCUUCGGCUCAUCACCAACAUGAGGGCUCAUAAUGACACGUGGUUUGUAGAUUACUUGCUAAGGGUCGGCAAUGGCACUGAGGAUGUCGACGAUCAAGGCAACAUACUACUCCCUGAAGACAUCUGUCUGCCGUCUACAGGCGAGGUUGACGACCUGGAGAAGCUUAUUGACCACGUGUUUCCGAGUCAAGAUGACAACAUGUCUGAUUCGAAUUACAUGACAUCUCGCGCAAUCCUUUCCACGAAAAACGACAAUGUCGACAAGAUAAACAUCCGCAUGAUAGAGCGUUUUCAUGGAGAUGAAGUAAUCUACCAUAGCUUUGACAGUGCGGAGGACGACCCAUAUGGCUACUACGCUCAGGAGUUUCUGAAUGGAUUGACUCCUAACGGUCUUCCUCCGCAUGCACUCAAGCUAAAGCUGAACUACCCUGUCAUACUUCUAAGGAACAUUGAUCCAGCUAAUGGACUGUGUAACGGCACUAGGCUUGUUGUUAGAGGUUUUGAGAGGAACACCAUUGAUGCAGAAAUCGUGAUUGGACAACACGCUGGCAGGAGGGUCUUCCUUCCUUGA
RNAcentral lists this ribosomal RNA (579 nucleotides) under Triticum aestivum (bread wheat). RNAcentral describes it as "partial small subunit ribosomal RNA". Lineage: Eukaryota; Viridiplantae; Streptophyta; Magnoliopsida; Poales; Poaceae. The record is from RNAcentral.